Molecule: ribosomal RNA, 505 nt
Filed under: uncultured bacterium
Lineage: Bacteria
Description: partial 16S ribosomal RNA
Rfam family: Bacterial small subunit ribosomal RNA
Source: RNAcentral
GACGAACGCUGGCGGCGUGCCUAAUACAUGCAAGUAGAACGCACAGUUUAUACCGUAGCUUGCUACACCAUAGACUGUGAGUUGCGAACGGGUGAGUAACGCGUAGGUAACCUGCCUGGUAGCGGGGGAUAACUAUUGGAAACGAUAGCUAAUACCGCAUAAUAUUGAUUAUUGCAUGAUAAUUAAUUGAAAGGUGCAAUUGCACCACUACCAGAUGGACCUGCGUUGUAUUAGCUAGUAGGUGAGGUAACGGCUCACCUAGGCGACGAUACAUAGCCGACCUGAGAGGGUGAUCGGCCACACUGGGACUGAGACACGGCCCAGACUCCUACGGGAGGCAGCAGUAGGGAAUCUUCGGCAAUGGACGAAAGUCUGACCGAGCAACGCCGCGUGAGUGAAGAAGGUUUUCGGAUCGCAAAGCUCUGUUGUAAGAGAAGAACGGGUGUGAGAGUGGAAAGUUCACACUGUGACGGUAUCUUACCAGAAAGGGACGGCUAACUACGUG